Pezoporus occidentalis (night parrot) is the source of this 416-nucleotide long non-coding RNA. RefSeq lists it as uncharacterized. The record is from RefSeq and is a predicted model, not a curated record. The transcript has 2 exons. NCBI's taxonomy places the organism in Eukaryota, Metazoa, Chordata, Aves, Psittaciformes, Psittacidae.
UGCUGCCUUGAGAUGCUUGUUGAGCUAUAUUUGGCUGCAGUAUCAACUACAGCCAGCGAGAGUGCCCAGAGCAGCUUUACUCACCUUGCUCCUAUGUGCAGAGUAGCCCAGAGCCUCCAUACAUCAAAGUUUUAUACUUCUCUUCCAGUGUUUCCAAGGGAGGACAAGGUCUGCCACGGCGUGGACUAAGGGCCAGGCUAAGCACAGCCGUGUGCUGCAUGAGUGAAAUGCACCAAGACAGAUCACAAGUUCCCUCUUUGCAGGGCACCAGGGCUUUAAAAAUUCAUCCUGUUUCUCUCAUUGCGUAUUCAGUACCUCUGUACGCAAUAGCUGCAUUCAACACAGCCUAAAACAUCUCUUUACAAGGUGUGGGAGCUGUCAGUUUAAUCUAGUUAAAAAUAAAAGGACUAAAAAUG